GAUGAACGCUGGCGGCGUGCCUAAUACAUGCAAGUCGAGCGAACGGACGAGAAGCUUGCUUCUCUGAUGUUAGCGGCGGACGGGUGAGUAACACGUGGAUAACCUACCUAUAAGACUGGGAUAACUUCGGGAAACCGUAGCUAAUACCGGAUAAUAUUUUGAACCGCAUGGUUCAAAAGUGAAAGACGGUCUUGCUGUCACUUAUAGAUGGAUCCGCGCUGCAUUAGCUAGUUGGUAAGGUAACGGCUUACCAAGGCAACGAUGCAUAGCCGACCUGUGAGGGUGAUCGGCCACACUGGAACUGAGACACGGUCCAGACUCCUACGGGAGGCAGCAGUAGGGAAUCUUCCGCAAUGGGCGAAAGCCUGACGGAGCAACGCCGCGUGAGUGAUGAAGGUCUUCGGAUCGUAAAACUCUGUUAUUAGGGAAGAACAUAUGUGUAAGUAACUGUGCACAUCUUGACGGUACCUAAUCAGAAAGCCACGGCUAACUACGUG
RNAcentral lists this ribosomal RNA (497 nucleotides) under uncultured bacterium. RNAcentral's name for it is "partial 16S ribosomal RNA". It matches the Rfam family "Bacterial small subunit ribosomal RNA", at positions 28 to 507 of the family's 1533-position model. The record is from RNAcentral.